Oryza barthii is the source of this 92-nucleotide non-coding RNA. Lineage: Eukaryota; Viridiplantae; Streptophyta; Magnoliopsida; Poales; Poaceae. The record is from Rfam.
AGGCUGUAGCCAAAUUAAUUAACGUGGAAGUAAAACUGGUCGGGUUGCCAAUUGAUUCCAUGGGCAUUCCGCUUACCGAACUUCCCAUAUGU